RNAcentral lists this non-coding RNA (20 nucleotides) under Rattus norvegicus (Norway rat). Lineage: Eukaryota; Metazoa; Chordata; Mammalia; Rodentia; Muridae. The record is from RNAcentral.
UGAAUUUCAACAGAGAUGGC